CCUACGGGCGGCUGCAGUGGGGAAUAUUGCACAAUGGGCGCAAGCCUGAUGCAGCCAUGCCGCGUGUGUGAAGAAGGCCUUCGGGUUGUAAAGCACUUUCAGCGGGGAGGAAGGCGGUGAGGUUAGUAACCUCAUCGAUUGACGUUACCCGCAGAAGAAGCACCGGCUAACUCCGUGCCAACAGCCGCGGUAAUACGGAGGGUGCAAGCGUUAAUCGGAAUUACUGGGCGUAAAGCGCACGCAGGCGGUCUGUCAAGUCGGAUGUGAAAUCCCCGGGCUCAACCUGGGAACUGCAUUCGAAACUGGCAGGCUAGAGUCUUGUAGAGGGGGGUAGAAUUCCAGGUGUAGCGGUGAAAUGCGUAGAGAUCUGGAGGAAUACCGGUGGCGAAGGCGGCCCCCUGGACAAAGACUGACGCUCAGGUGCGAAAGCGUGGGGAGCAAACAGGAUUAGAUACCCGAGUAGUC
This 465-nucleotide ribosomal RNA is filed under the name uncultured Klebsiella sp. RNAcentral's name for it is "bacterial SSU rRNA". It matches the Rfam family "Bacterial small subunit ribosomal RNA", at positions 338 to 795 of the family's 1533-position model. The record is from RNAcentral. Lineage: Bacteria; Pseudomonadati; Pseudomonadota; Gammaproteobacteria; Enterobacterales; Enterobacteriaceae.